AACGCACAUUGCGCCCGCUAGUAUUCUGGCGGGCAUGCCUGUUCGAGCGUCAUUUCAACCAUCAAGCCCCUGUGCUUGUGUUGGAGCCCUGCGGCUGCCGCAGGCUCCCAAACCCAGUGGCGGGCUCGUCGUCGUACCGAGUGCAGUAAAUUUACCACGCUCAGGGCACGUGAUGGGUGACCGGCCGUAAAACCCCCCCUUCUCAAGGUUGACCUCGGAUCAGGUAGGAAUACCCGCUGAACUUAA
This 246-nucleotide unclassified non-coding RNA is filed under the name uncultured Lasiosphaeriaceae. RNAcentral describes it as "sequence contains ITS2". Lineage: Eukaryota; Fungi; Ascomycota; Sordariomycetes; Sordariales; Lasiosphaeriaceae. The record is from RNAcentral.